This is a long non-coding RNA of Lemur catta (Ring-tailed lemur), 578 nucleotides long. RefSeq lists it as uncharacterized. The record is from RefSeq and is a predicted model, not a curated record. Lineage: Eukaryota; Metazoa; Chordata; Mammalia; Primates; Lemuridae. The transcript is spliced from 4 exons.
AGCUACCUGCCUGCUGAUAACGUGGAUUCCUCUCCAUUCAUCAUGUGAAAACUUUAUGGAAGUGGAAGCCCUACAAUGGUUUAAAAUCUCAUCAGAGAGAAAAUUAUUCUUCAAUAUAAAUGAAAGUAAAUGAAAUGUAUGCACUGCUUUGAGUGUUUUACAAAGCUAUGGCCAGCAAGACAACUCCCCUGAGGCAGAAAGGCAUGAGACCUGCUAUGCUUAUUAAGGAGAAAAAGGAAGAAAAUGUGGCAUAAUUGAAGUCUACCAGGUUUUACUCUACUCCGACUGCAGUUCAUCCAUACCACUCAGCUGCUACUCCUGAGCCUUAAUACGUAAAUAAAAACUGAUUAUAAAAGUUCCAUGAGAAGAACAUUUUAGUCAUUGAUAUAUUUCUUUUUGAUCUUACUUUUUUGAGGGCUAAGGAAAAUGUUUCCAAGUUUUUGUAAGUUUCCACAAAACCUAAAGUGCCUACAUUAUUGGCUCCCUCUCUCAAACUCUUAAUCCUCUGAACUCAUGUGUCUUCCUCCUUCAGCAGCCCACUCUCCACCUUCAUGGGAUCUUCCUAAUAUUCCUAGCAA